AUGGCGAAUGCCUGACGGACUACAUGGACUCGGUAUCCCCAGGUCGCGGGUUCGAAUCCCGCCGGGCCGGCCAAUCGGCCCGUAGCUCAGCGGAUAGAGCGGGUAGGCGUCCGUCGAAAUCCUCGUCGCCAUGAU
RNAcentral lists this Y RNA (135 nucleotides) under Sphingomonas sanxanigenens DSM 19645 = NX02. Its description in RNAcentral is "Y RNA-like". It matches the Rfam family "Y RNA-like". From Rfam's summary of the family: In Deinococcus radiodurans Rsr is tethered via Y RNA to the exoribonuclease PNPase and channels single-stranded RNA into the PNPase cavity. The record is from Rfam by way of RNAcentral. Lineage: Bacteria; Pseudomonadati; Pseudomonadota; Alphaproteobacteria; Sphingomonadales; Sphingomonadaceae.